AACUUUCGGCAACGGAUCUCUUGGUUCCCGCAUCGAUGAAGAACGCAGCGAAAUGCGAUACGUAAUGUGAAUUGCAGAACUCAGUGAAUCAUCGAAUCUUUGAACGCACCUUGCACUCUUUGGUAUUCCGAAGAGUAUGUCUGUUUGAGUGUCAU
This 155-nucleotide ribosomal RNA is filed under the name Microsporomyces magnisporus. RNAcentral's name for it is "5.8S rRNA". It matches the Rfam family "5.8S ribosomal RNA". From Rfam's summary of the family: 5.8S ribosomal RNA (5.8S rRNA) is a component of the large subunit of the eukaryotic ribosome. It is transcribed by RNA polymerase I as part of the 45S precursor that also contains 18S and 28S rRNA. Functionally, it is thought that 5.8S rRNA may be involved in ribosome translocation. The record is from RNAcentral. Lineage: Eukaryota; Fungi; Basidiomycota; Cystobasidiomycetes; Cystobasidiales; Microsporomycetaceae.